This 451-nucleotide ribosomal RNA is filed under the name uncultured bacterium. RNAcentral's name for it is "bacterial SSU rRNA". It matches the Rfam family "Bacterial small subunit ribosomal RNA", at positions 329 to 793 of the family's 1533-position model. The record is from RNAcentral.
UUCCAGACUCCUACGGGAGGCAGCAGUGGGGGAUAUUGGACAAUGGGGGGAACCCUGAUCCAGCGACGCCGCGUGAGUGAAGAAGUAUCUCGGUAUGUAAAGCUCUAUCAGCAGGGAAGAAAGAAAUGACGGUACCUGACUAAGAAGCCCCGGCUAACUACGUGCCAGCAGCCGCGGUAAUACGUAGGGGGCAAGCGUUAUCCGGAUUUACUGGGUGUAAAGGGAGCGUAGACGGCGAUGCAAGCCAGAUGUGAAAGCCCGGGGCUCAACCCCGGGACUGCAUUUGGAACUGUGUGGCUGGAGUGUCGGAGAGGCAAGUGGAAUUCCUAGUGUAGCGGUGAAAUGCGUAGAUAUUAGGAGGAACACCAGUGGCGAAGGCGGCUUGCUGGACGAUGACUGACGUUGAGGCUCGAAAGCGUGGGGAGCAAACAGGAUUAGAUACCCUGGUACG